AGNAUAAANUUUAUACUGUGAAACUGCGAACGGCUCAUUACAUCUUAUAAUUUAUUUGAUGGUACCUUACCNAUGGAUACCCGGAAUAAUUCCNAAACUAAUACAUGGCUAAAAUCCCGACUCUCUGGGANGGGAUGUNUUUNUUNNAUACNANAUUANGCCGACUUCCGGGCAUUCCAGUUGAGAAAACUUGUGUNCUGACCGGUCCUGGUCCUGUGAACAACAAUAUUGCGAUCCACUUUUACCCUUCUAAUCUUUCAACGGUUAGGCGGUGAAUAACCAUGCAACUCUGCCAGGGUAAUUACGGUANUAUAGAGGACUACCGUGGUUACAGGGUAACGGGGAAUCGNCGAUUCAUUCGAAUUUCUGCCCCAUCAACUCUCGAUGGUAGGAUAGAGGCCUACCAUGGUCGCAACGGGUAACGGGGAAANGGNCGNCNGUGGUCAGAUUUAGUGAGUCAUCCGCNUUUUNACGUUUUUUGUNUNUUNUUUNUCUUUGGGUUG
This 503-nucleotide ribosomal RNA is filed under the name uncultured fungus. Its description in RNAcentral is "partial 18S ribosomal RNA". It matches the Rfam family "Eukaryotic small subunit ribosomal RNA", at positions 62 to 379 of the family's 1831-position model. The record is from RNAcentral. Lineage: Eukaryota; Fungi.